AUUGAACGCUGGCGGUAUGCUUAACACAUGCAAGUCGAACGAUGAGAAAGAGCUUGCUCUUUCGAUUAGUGGCGGACGGGUGCGUAACGCGUAGGAAUCUACCUAUUAGUGGGGGACAACUUAGGGAAACUUAAGCUAAUACCGCAUACGCCCUACGGGGGAAAGAAGGGGAUCGCAAGACCUUUUGCUAAUAGAUGAGCCUGCGUAGGAUUAGCUAGUUGGUGGGGUAAAAGCUCACCAAGGCGACGAUCCUUAACUGGUUUGAGAGAAUGACAAGGCACACUGGAACUGAGACACGGUCCAGACUCCUACGGGAGGCAGAAGUGGGGAAUAUUGGACAAUGGGCGAAAGCCUGAUCCAGAAAUACCGCGUGUGUGAAGAAGGCCUUAGGGUUGUAAAGCACUUUCAAUUGGAAGGAAAACCUCGAAGCUAAUACCUUCGAGUUUGACAUUACCUUUAGAAGAAGCACCGGCUAACUCCGUGCCAGCCGCCGCCGUAA
This 499-nucleotide ribosomal RNA is filed under the name uncultured bacterium. Its description in RNAcentral is "partial 16S ribosomal RNA". It matches the Rfam family "Bacterial small subunit ribosomal RNA", at positions 30 to 523 of the family's 1533-position model. The record is from RNAcentral.